UACGAAGGGGGCUAGCGUUGCUCGGAAUUACUGGGCGUAAAGCGCACGUAGGCGGCUUCUUAAGUCGGUGGUGAAAUCCUGGAGCUCAACUCCAGAACUGCCUCGAUCACUGGGAGCUCGAGUCCGGGAGAGGUGAGUGGAACUGCGAGUGUAGAGGUGAAAUUCGUAGAUAUUCGCAAGAACACCCAGUGGCGAAGGCGGCUCACUGGCCCGGUACUGACGCUGAGGUGCGAAAGCGUGGG
This 242-nucleotide ribosomal RNA is filed under the name uncultured bacterium. RNAcentral describes it as "partial 16S ribosomal RNA". It matches the Rfam family "Bacterial small subunit ribosomal RNA", at positions 524 to 765 of the family's 1533-position model. The record is from RNAcentral.